Molecule: long non-coding RNA, 291 nt
Organism: Asparagus officinalis (garden asparagus)
Lineage: Eukaryota; Viridiplantae; Streptophyta; Magnoliopsida; Asparagales; Asparagaceae
Exons: 3
Source: RefSeq, a predicted model, not a curated record
GACCGAUCAUCCUGAGACUGAACUAAAGCCAGGGAUCAAUCUUCUUGGCGCCGUUGAUGAAUUAUUUUUUGAUACCUAUGAUAGAUUUGAACCUGUCAAUGAAUCCUCAUCUGAUAAUUGUUUCAUAUCGACUAGUUAUGAUGCUACAACACAUUUCGAGUCGACUGUUACCGAUGUUCUUGCACUGUAUACCAAAAUUACUGGAAAGACUGUUGAACUUAGCGUGGAUCUAAGUGCUGCAAGCGCCGCUGAGGAAUGAAGAGACUUAUCAAGCAUUAUUUAUGUACCGAG